RNAcentral lists this ribosomal RNA (253 nucleotides) under uncultured bacterium. Its description in RNAcentral is "partial 16S ribosomal RNA". It matches the Rfam family "Bacterial small subunit ribosomal RNA", at positions 524 to 776 of the family's 1533-position model. The record is from RNAcentral.
UACGUAGGUGGCAAGCGUUGUCCGGAUUUACUGGGUGUAAAGGGCGUGCAGCCGGAGAGACAAGUCAGAUGUGAAAUCCACGGGCUCAACCCGUGAACUGCAUUUGAAACUGUUUCCCUUGAGUGUCGGAGAGGUAAUCGGAAUUCCUUGUGUAGCGGUGAAAUGCGUAGAUAUAAGGAAGAACACCAGUGGCGAAGGCGGAUUACUGGACGAUAACUGACGGUGGGGCGCGAAAGCGUGGGGAGCAAACAGG